UGGGGAAUAUUGCACAAUGGGGGAAACCCUGAUGCAGCGACGCCGCGUGAACGAAGAAGGUAUUCGUAUCGUAAAGUUCUGUCCUAUGGGAAGAUAAUGACAGUACCAUAGAAGAAAGCUCCGGCUAAAUACGUGCCAGCAGCCGCGGUAAUACGUAUGGAGCGAGCGUUGUCCGGAAUUAUUGGGCGUAAAGGGUACGCAGGCGGUUUAAUAAGUCGAAUGUUAAAGAUCGGGGCUCAACCCCGCAAAGCAUUGGAAACUGAUAAACUUGAGUAGUGGAGAGGAAAGUGGAAUUCCUAGUGUAGUGGUGAAAUACGUAGAUAUUAGGAGGAAUACCAGUAGCGAAGGCGACUUCCUGGACACAAACUGACGCUGAGGUACGAAAGCGUGGGGAGCAAACAGG
RNAcentral lists this ribosomal RNA (403 nucleotides) under bacterium. RNAcentral describes it as "partial 16S ribosomal RNA". It matches the Rfam family "Bacterial small subunit ribosomal RNA", at positions 355 to 776 of the family's 1533-position model. The record is from RNAcentral.